Non-coding RNA from Ictalurus punctatus (channel catfish), 577 nucleotides. The record is from the annotation of a RefSeq genome assembly. Lineage: Eukaryota; Metazoa; Chordata; Actinopteri; Siluriformes; Ictaluridae.
AUGAUGCAAAUGUGUGUCGAUGUAGUAUUUAUGUGCAGCCGAGCUGAGAGGAGCAGUCGAUUCUCAUCAACGCUCACCAUGAAGAUCCCUCUCUCCUUAUUCGUGCUCCUAAUCAGCCUGUGUGUCCACUGUGUGAAUGGCCAGAGUUUGGAGUCUAUUCCUAGUCAUGCAGUACUGAGUAAUCCUGGUGGAACUGUCAGCCUCUCUUGUAAGGCUAUAGGAUAUAAUUUUGGAGAUUAUGGCAUGAGCUGGAUACGACAGCCUCGUGGAAAGCCCUUACAGUGGAUUGGGCACAUCAAUACUGCAAGUGGAGAAACAUUCUACAGUAAAAGUCUUGAAGGAAGAAUUGAAAGAACAAAAGAUAACAGUAAAGGCAUUUCAUACUUCAAGUUGUCUGGCCUGACUGUAGAAGACACAGCUGUGUAUCACUGUGCCCGAAAACACAGUGACACAAACAGAUGACAAGGAUGUACAAAAAGUUCAGUUCCUGAAUUUGAUAUACGUCUGUCUUCCUGAAUACAGUGGGCAGACAAUGUCAAAAUAUAAUCUCGCAAUAUUAUAGUGUAAAGGCAGGGAA